Apis cerana (Asiatic honeybee) is the source of this 2781-nucleotide RNA transcript. It is a transcript of the gene named thyrotropin-releasing hormone receptor, with no coding region annotated. Lineage: Eukaryota; Metazoa; Arthropoda; Insecta; Hymenoptera; Apidae. The record is from RefSeq and is a predicted model, not a curated record.
UACUUUCAUCAAGAAACUUUCUUCGGCAAACGAGUGUAUAUUGACCUAAGGAAAGAAUAAAAAAAAAAAAAAAGGAAAAAUCAUGUUACCCAUCACGUCAACAUUUUACUUACACACAAGAUGCGAGCAAGAAUCUUCAAAUAUGGACGUAUCUUCACGUUCCAGACGAUCUGUGUCACCAACUGUAUGGGCCAAUUUAACAUACCACGGGUUUCGAAACAAAAGUAUCGACCCGGGAUUAGAUCUCGAAGAGAAAUUCGAUAAUACAGCAAUAGAAGCUUGUCAUUCUUUGUAUUUUCUAUUAGACUUCUUUCAUCAGUACUACAUUCCUUCAAUCAUAUUACUAGGAUUGAUAGGCAACCUGUUGUCUUGCGUUGUGUUCCUAAACACACAUCUAAGGAUACGAAGUUCCAGUUACUAUUUGGCCGCACUGGCCACGGCCGACUUCACUUUCUUAGUUACAUUAUUGUUAGUUUGGUUGAACAACACGUUAGGAUGGAAAGUGUUCAAUAAAGAUGGCUGGUGCGAAACAUUAGUCUACGUGAGCGCUGUUUGCAGCUCUCUUAGUGUAUGGUUAAUCGUUGCAUUUACCGUGGAGAGAUUUAUAGCGGUUCAGUAUCCUCUGCACAGACCCCAUAUAUGCACCAUAGCGAGGGCAAAGACUAUCGUAUUGGUGUUGGUGAUUUUAGCAUUGGCCAGUCAUUCGUACUCAUUCGUGACGGCUGGAAUGGUUAUGAACAAAGACGGAGAAGAAUAUUGUGAUAUGAAAGUCGAGUACAUGGAAACAAUGAAGAUAAUCAGCAUCAUCGACAGUAUAGCUAGCCUAAUUGCGCCACUGGUUCUUAUCAUUGUGAUGAACACCAUGAUCACGAGGAACUUGUUGAGGUUUAGCAGACGAUUCAAACAAACAUCAAGCACGUCUACAGAUUGUCCAAGCAGAGAAAGAUCUGACAUCAAUUUGAAUCAAAUUCCGAGUGGUAGCAGUAGCAACAACGGUGCCGGUGGCAUGAAUCUAGGACCAAUGGUCGGAGGUCGACGGCCACCCUCGCAGCAAUCGUUUCAUUCGUCGAAGAAUAACCAUUCUCAUCAUUCUCGGCAUCAGACUACGUCCGCUCCGCCAUCAACACCGAGAAACGCCUGUCAGCUACCCGAAAUAGGGAAUCGUUGUAUACAUAUUAGAUCAUCGUCGAAAAACCUUGUAUCCACAAGAAAUCAACAAAACAUCACGAAAAUGCUGCUUUUAAUCAGUACCGUCUUUAUUCUUCUCAAUUUACCAAGUUAUGUUAUACGGUUAUGCGUAUUCUUCUUUACGCUCGCCCGCAAAAAUACACCUGACCUGCUUUGGUGUAUACAACAGUUUUUUAUGCUUCUUUAUUAUACCAACUUCAGCAUCAAUUUUCUAUUGUAUGCAAUGUGUGGUAUCACGUUUCGACGUUGUUUACAGCAAUUGUUACGCAAAAUAUUGAAAAGCAUGACCAGAUAUCAUUGCAAUCCGCAACGAUACAUAUAGAAAUUAUAGAAACAAUUUUUGGACAAUCGUACAAGAAUCACAAUUUCAGAAAGCGUGAUAUGAAUAGUGUCACGUGACUAUCAUGGCGCUUUAGUCACGUGGUUAAAUAUACUACUUCAACGAUAUCUCGCAUGUAAAAAGAUCACGUCUCAGUCAUUUAUAACGCUGAUUGUAUGUAACGUAUAUAGGUUAUGAAUAAGAGUUUCUGGAAAUAUGAUAAUUAUACCGAUUUACUCUAAGUACAGUUAGUUUCUUUCAAUGUAUACUCAGUGAACAAUGUAUUAUUCAGUGAUCUCAUAUUCCAGUAAUUGCCGUUUGAUUAUUUUAUGCUAUUGAAAUAGGAAAUAAUGAAAAGGAAAUAAACGAUCAAUGAAUAAUCUGGCACCAUCAUAGCGACUGGACGGAAUAGAGCUUUCAAAUUGUCCGGUAAUUCCGUUCGUCCCGCAUAACCAGGAUUCAUAGUAAUGAAAACCGCACAAGAUGGCUUCAAAACAAUUUCUUCUCCUUCGAAGAUGAAUCUGAGAAAUUUCAUUGUUAUAUUUUAUACCAGUGUUUCCCAAUCUUUUUUUUUUAAAAGUCAUAAUUCAAAUUUAUAAUAAUCUUUUUUUCUUUAUAUAAAGUAAACAAAAUUAAAAGCAAUGAACAAUGAUUCGUUUGAAUUAACACGAGUUAAUUGAGUUAAAUAACGAGAAAAUUUUAAUAUUCUUGUAAAAUAUAAAAAUAUUAUUAUAUUAAAAUGAAUAUGUAAAAAUCUUUCAAUAAAAAUAGCGACCCCUUUUAUGAGCCUUUGAAUCGCGAUUCGUAAAUUGAGAAUUUACAUUUAAAUAAUUUUAAAUCUAAUAUUUUAUAGAUAUACCAAAAUGUGUUGCUUGCUUAUUUAUGUACUCACUUAUCAACCCGCAUUUGUUGCGCUUGUUGGAUUGUCAUAAUUUGCUGGGCAAUGACGGACAAUACUUCGAUAUCUAUCCUAUUAAAUUCGUCAAAGCACGCCCAUGCACCUGCGCUAUGAGAAUUAAUAUCAAGAACAUGAAAAAUUACUAUGGAAAAUACAAAGAACAAAUACAAUAAAUAAUUAAGAUUGUAAAUAAUAAUUAAUAAAUGCAAUGCCUGUCAAUGCGAAAAAUUACAUUUUAAUUACACGAAUGCAAUGAAGUUGACAUUAAUAACCAAUUGAAAACUUUCAUGAAUUUGCUAAAAAAAAAAACCGAUAUUUUCAUUAUGAAAUUUAAUGAAAUUUACAAUUAAUAAAUUUCAACGAAACUAUAUUUAUA